GAUCAUUACUGAGUGAGGGCCCUCUGGGUCCAACCUCCCACCCGUGUUUAUUGUACCUUGUUGCUUCGGUGCGCCCGCCUCACGGCCGCCGGGGGGCUUCUGCCCCCGGGUCCGCGCGCACCGGAGACACUAUUGAACUCUGUCUGAAGAUUGCAGUCUGAGCAUAAACUAAAUAAGUUAAAACUUUCAACAACGGAUCUCUUGGUUCCGGCAUCGAUGAAGAACGCAGCGAAAUGCGAUAACUAAUGUGAAUUGCAGAAUUCAGUGAAUCAUCGAGUCUUUGAACGCACAUUGCGCCCCCUGGUAUUCCGGGGGGCAUGCCUGUCCGAGCGUCAUUGCUGCCCUCAAGCACGGCUUGUGUGUUGGGCUCCGUCCCCCCGGGGACGGGUCCGAAAGGCAGCGGCGGCACCGAGUCCGGUCCUCGAGCGUAUGGGGCUUUGUCACCCGCUCUGUAGGCCCGGCCGGCGCCAGCCGACAACCAAUCAUCCUU
Molecule: unclassified non-coding RNA, 490 nt
Filed under: Penicillium glabrum
Lineage: Eukaryota; Fungi; Ascomycota; Eurotiomycetes; Eurotiales; Aspergillaceae
Description: sequence contains 18S rRNA gene, ITS1, 5.8S rRNA gene, ITS2, 28S rRNA gene
Rfam family: 5.8S ribosomal RNA (bases 182-335)
Source: RNAcentral